Molecule: RNA transcript, 2286 nt
Organism: Gymnodraco acuticeps
Lineage: Eukaryota; Metazoa; Chordata; Actinopteri; Perciformes; Bathydraconidae
Gene: uck2b
Gene name: uridine-cytidine kinase 2b
Exons: 7
Source: RefSeq, a predicted model, not a curated record
UUCCAGCACAGCAGCUCUGACUGUACACUGCAAGCAUGGCCGGGGACAGUGAAACACAUCUUAGGGACCGUGGCGAGAAAACCGACGUUAUCCGACAACCUUUUCUCAUCGGUGUAUCUGGAGGCACCGCCAGUGGCAAGUCGUCAGUAUGUGAGAAGAUCAUGGAGCUGCUGGGCCAGAACAAGAUCGACCAUCACCAGAGGCAGGUGGCCAUCCUCAGCCAGGACAGCUUCUACAAGGUGCUGACCCCGGAGCAGAAGGCAAAGGCACUGAAGGGCCAGUUCAACUUCGAUCACCCAGAUGCCUUUGACAGUGAGCUCAUAAUGCAAACACUCAGGAAGAUCCUGCAGGGGGAGACGGUCCAGAUCCCAUUGUAUGACUUUGUUCAUCAUUCCAGGAAAGAGGAGUUCAUCACGGUGUACCCGGCUGAUGUGGUGCUGUUCGAGGGCAUCCUCAUGUUCUACUCUCAGGAGAUCAGAGAUCUGUUCCAGAUGAAGCUGUUUGUCGACACGGAUCCAGACACACGGCUCUCUCGCAGAGUUCUCCGAGACAUCAGUGAGCGUGGCAGGGAGCUGGAGCAGGUGCUGGCUCAGUACAUCACCUUUGUGAAACCGGCCUUUGAGGAGUUCUGUUUACCAGUAAGUGAUGUGCCGGCCUUACAAGCGCCUUUCGUUUUUGGAGUAGAGCCUCACUGAUACACUGGGAUGCCAAACAUUACUAGCCAAUAUUAGCUUCAAGUUUUAUGUUGGUUUUAAUGUAUUUCAUCCCAUGUAAAACAAGAAAUGACAGCACAGAAAAGCCAAAGAUGUAUUUGAGACAAAGAAGUAUGCAGAUGUGAUUAUUCCACGAGGAGCAGAUAACCUUGUCGCCAUCAACUUGAUAGUACAGCACAUCCAAGACAUUAUGAACGGCGGACCAAGCAAGCGCCACAACGGCUGCACGAACGGCCACGUUGCCCCCCGUCAGCGGCGGACCUCGGAGUCCAGCAGCCGGCCUCAUUGACGUCGUGGCACCUCUCUCACAGGGCGGAGAGGGGUGUGGGAGCUGCCUGUAAAUAAUGCCUGUCGGCAUCACUGUAUUUAAGAGAGGAAAAAAAAGAAAUGCAAAAAGAAUUGAAAUGCCUAUUAUUAUUAUUAUUAUUAUUAUUAUUAUUAUUAUUAUUAUAAUAAUGACUACUCAUGUUAUUGGUUACCUUCAUUUUAAUUGUUAAUUUUUUUCAGGAGGUUUAAAACAAGUUGUUGUGAUGGGUUUAAAUGACCUCAUGCAUUUUCCUCCCAGGUUGCUUUUUGUUUUUUUUAUGUAUCCCCGCUGCUCCAUGGAGUUUCAUGCCGCUAAUGAAUAAAAGAGGGGAACCCCUUUUUUUUCCCUUUUUUUUGUAAUGACUGAUAAAACUUGAAGCCGUAAUGCCAGCGCGAGUCUGAUAAAUGUUUGGGUGUGUUCCAAACGAUAAGGAUUUGAAGAAGAGUUGAAGAAAACCAGGAUUGCAAUGUGUAUUUGUACUGACAAUCUAUGGGUGUCUUUCCAACCCUUUUCUUCAGUGUUAAAGAUGUGUUAUUCAAGAGGUCUGUUUACUACAAAGUGUCCAUCACUGACUACACACUACAGGAUUGUUUUUAGUACUGAUUCUCAUGUGCGGAUUAAUGUGAUCACCAGACCAAUGAAGCCUAAGGCUGGAAGGAUCAGCUGACUACUGUAUCAACCCAGUCUAGUGUUGCGGGUAUUGUUACACUCUUAAUGAAAAUAUUGAUAUAUAUCCCAAUCAAAAGAAAGCAAAGAAACACUUAUUUUGAGAGUGAGAUUAAAUGAACUAUUACAAAAAUGUAGAUAUGUGAAUUCCUCUAUGAAGUCCCUAUUUUUUUUGCUGGUUUUUCUAGCUAUCACAUGGCAAAAAAAAGCCUGCAAGAUUAUGAUAUGAAAUAUAUACUCUGGUUAGGAAUACCAUCAUGAUAUUAAAAUGCCAGACAAAGGUGUUCGGUGCCACAGCUAUAUUAGUUUCCCCCAGUGUAUGGCCAUUAACCACCAAGACCUACCGCAUUGCCUCAGGUUAAUAUGUACAGCAAGUAUCCACAGUAGGGGCCAGUUUCCAUUCUUUAAGUUAAAGAUACAAUAAAUAAAAAAAAACUGUUGAAUCAAUUUUGUAUUCCAUGUGCUGUAUUUGUUGUGUAUGGUGUAAUUGAAUGACUGAUUUGUACCAUGAGAUUUGUACUGUAUGGCUGUUGCAUUGUCACGUUUUUUUUAAUGAAUUGUGACAGAUUGCUUGGUGUUCAAUAAACUGAUGCAGCCGAA